Molecule: ribosomal RNA, 433 nt
Filed under: uncultured bacterium
Lineage: Bacteria
Description: partial 16S ribosomal RNA
Rfam family: Bacterial small subunit ribosomal RNA
Source: RNAcentral
AAUGAACGCUGGCGGCAUGCCUAACACAUGCAAGUCGAACGAAGCCUUCGGGUUUAGUGGCGCACGGGUGCGUAACGCGUGGGAAUCUGCCCCUUGGUUCGGAAUAACAGUUGGAAACGACUGCUAAUACCGGAUGAUGACGUAAGUCCAAAGAUUUAUCGCCGAGGGAUGAGCCCGCGUAGGAUUAGGUAGUUGGUGUGGUAAAGGCGCACCAAGCCGACGAUCCUUAGCUGGUCUGAGAGGAUGAUCAGCCACACUGGGACUGAGACACGGCCCAGACUCCUACGGGAGGCAGCAGUGGGGAAUAUUGGACAAUGGGCGAAAGCCUGAUCCAGCAAUGCCGCGUGAGUGAUGAAGGCCUUAGGGUUGUAAAGCUCUUUUACCCGGGAUGAUAAUGACAGUACCGGGAGAAUAAGCUCCGGCUAACUCCGUG